Molecule: ribosomal RNA, 598 nt
Filed under: uncultured bacterium
Lineage: Bacteria
Description: bacterial SSU rRNA
Rfam family: Bacterial small subunit ribosomal RNA
Source: RNAcentral
CCUACGGGAGGCAGCAGUGGGGAAUAUUGCACAAUGGGCGAGAGCCUGAUGCAGCAACGCCGCGUGAGGGACGACGGCCUUCGGGUUGUAAACCUCUUUUAGCAGGGAAGAAGCGAAAGUGACGGUACCUGCAGAAAAAGCACCGGCUAACUACGUGCCAGCAGCCGCGGUAAUACGUAGGGUGCAAGCGUUGUCCGGAAUUAUUGGGCGUAAAGAGCUCGUAGGCGGUUUGUCGCGUCUGCUGUGAAAACUGGAGGCUCAACCUCCAGCCUGCAGUGGGUACGGGCAGACUAGAGUGCGGUAGGGGAGAUUGGAAUUCCUGGUGUAGCGGUGGAAUGCGCAGAUAUCAGGAGGAACACCGAUGGCGAAGGCAGAUCUCUGGGCCGUAACUGACGCUGAGGAGCGAAAGGGUGGGGAGCAAACAGGCUUAGAUACCCUGGUAGUCCACCCGUAAACGUUGGGAACUAGAUGUGGGGACCAUUCCACGGUCUCCGUGUCGCAGCUAACGCAUUAAGUUCCCGCCUGGGGAGUACGGCCGCAAGGCAAAACUCAAAUGAAUUGACGGCUUGAGAGNGCGACGCGACGACGAGGGAGGAGG